AUGGGGAGAAUUCCAGGGUAUCUGCUGAUUGGCUCAGCACUCUGUAUGGGCGUGGUCAGUCUAACCCUAAGCUACACCUCCAGGGUCAGAGUUCACAAAGGGAGGAGCCUCACACUGCCCUGCAUGAACACAACACAUGCAGGUGAGAUAACACACACAAAAAAUACUACCUUUUUGGAAUGUCCCCAUACCCCUGUUAUACUGGUGUGUGUGUAGAAGUGGUCCAGUACUGGCAGACCCCAUUCAGUCAGGUCCUGAACAGCAGUCUUCAUGCCAACCAGAAAGAUGUGGUUACUACGCAACGAGAUGGUAGCCUGCGGAUCCACAUUGCCUGUGCUCACCACAGCAGCCUGUACUACUGCCUCCUACUGACCGGAGGACAAACUACACUCAUCCUACCUGCUGACUGCCAGCAGUCGACAGGACCGUGCGGUCGAACCCAGGCGUGUGGUCAGGAGUGUUCUGGGUGGUCAUGGAGAGGGAUGUUGCCAUGGUUUCUGACGGUGUGUUUGCGGCGGCGGUGACGGCAUCAGUAGUGGUGACGUUCCUGGUGGGGUUCAGCUCUGGAGCUCUAAGCAGGAGUCUACUGGACAGCACUCCUAAGGUGUGUGAAUUGGGUCCGGUCGUAACCAUGGUGAAACAGUCAGCGUGGCAUUCCGGCAGGAUGUGGAACAAGAGGAUGAGGAUAACUCUGCCUCGACGACAAGCAUUAUCAUGGAUAAAGUCAGCCCAUCUCCACCGGCCAAAACUCAGAAGCUUCAGGAUCAAAUGUCAUGAAGAGAACAGUACUUAUCCCCCGCCCCCUGGGCCAAGCAGUGCUCGCUGUUCCUCACCAGGCUCAACACCAUCAUGGCUGCUGCCAGCGCCGGCCCCCUCGACACCCAGAGCCCCCCGGGUAGAGACUCCGACCCCCAGGACUCAGACCCAGACAAAAGGGAUACAGCCAGUCCAUCCCAGGGCCAGGAGAAACCAGUCUUUCAACUGGAGAUGUGACAUACAAGAUCUGGGCCUGUAUUCAUAAAGCGUCUCAGUAUGGCUGCUGAUAAAUUAUCCCAUCCUGACCGGUUCAUAUAAAUCUUAAUCAUUACGAAUUAAAAGGCAGAACUGUUUCUAGAUCAGCCCUCCUAGUCUUGAUAGAUGCAGCCCCUAAGCAGAAAGAUCAGGGUCAUGUUCAAUAGGGCAUACAGACACACCGUACCAAAAUGGUUUGGAACAGAAAACAAAAAUGAGUUUCUUACUGGACAACUUUAACAGAUAGUGCCUUGCCAUUUCACUCCAUUGUAAAACAUUUACUCAAUCACAAAUUCCCAGACAAAUGUAAGAUUCUAACUUGUCAUCAAAUCCAGCAGAUUCCAUUAAUAUUUUGUAAAAAUGUUAACUUUGGAUGAUUGUGUUGUUAGUCCCAGUGUAUAUGGUUCUAACCUUGUCCCCAGGUUACAAUUGUGCAAAGCUCUAAUAAGCCUGGAAUAACAUCUAUAGUCUGGCCUAUGUAGAAGUGAACAAAAAAAUAUUAUUUAUUUCUACAUUAUUUGAGCUUAGCGAAUCACACGACUGCAAGACAGGGCUCCAAAUUAGAGGUACACAACAUGUGAGGAAGUGUUCAGAGGGAAGUGAUUGAUUAAAUAUAAAGCAGAUGGCUAUUGGCUCGGGACUUUUUCGUCUUCUUUCUAUUGGGUUAAAGGCCCAGGGCAGUUUUAAAAAACGUGAUUUCCCUGUGUUUUAUAGACACUGAGUGUACAAAACAUUGGAAACGCCUGCUCUUUCCAUGU
Salvelinus namaycush (lake trout) is the source of this 1769-nucleotide long non-coding RNA. RefSeq lists it as uncharacterized. The transcript is spliced from 3 exons. The record is from RefSeq and is a predicted model, not a curated record. NCBI's taxonomy places the organism in Eukaryota, Metazoa, Chordata, Actinopteri, Salmoniformes, Salmonidae.